AAAAGAACCUGAAACCGUGUACGUACAAGCAGUGGGAGCACCUUCGGGUGUGACUGCGUACCUUUUGUAUAAUGGGUCAGCGACUUAUAUUCUGUAGCAAGGUUAACCGUAUAGGGGAGCCGAAGGGAAACCGAGUCUUAACUGGGCGUUAAGUUGCAGGGUAUAGACCCGAAACCCGGUGAUCUAGCCAUGGGCAGGUUGAAGGUUGGGUAACACUAACUGGAGGACCGAACCGACUAAUGUUGAAAAAUUAGCGGAUGACCUGUGGCUGGGGGUGAAAGGCCAAUCAAACCGGGAGAUAGCUGGUUCUCCCCGAAAGCUAUUUAGGUAGCGCCUCGUGAACUCAUCUUCGGGGGUAGAGCACUGUUUCGGCUAGGGGGCCAUCCCGGCUUACCAACCCGAUGCAAACUACGAAUACCGAAGAAUGUUAUCACGGGAGACACACGGCGGGUGCUAACGUCCGUCGUGAAGAGGGAAACAACCCAGACCGCCAGCUAAGGUCCCAAAGUCAUGGUUAAGUGGGAAACGAUGUGGGAAGGCACAGACAGCCAGGAUGUUGGCUUAGAAGCAGCCAUCAUUUAAAGAAAGCGUAAUAGCUCACUGGUCGAGUCGGCCUGCGCGGAAGAUGUAACGGGGCUAAACCAUGCACCGAAGCUGCGGCAGCGACGCUUAUGCGUUGUUGGGUAGGGGAGCGUUCUGUAAGCCGUUGAAGGUGUGCUGUGAGGCAUGCUGGAGGUAUCAGAAGUGCGAAUGCUGACAUAAGUAACGAUAAAGCGGGUGAAAAGCCCGCUCGCCGGAAGACCAAGGGUUCCUGUCCAACGUUAAUCGGGGCAGGGUGAGUCGACCCCUAAGGCGAGGCCGAAAGGCGUAGUCGAUGGGAAACAGGUUAAUAUUCCUGUACUUGGUGUUACUGCGAAGGGGGGACGGAGAAGGCUAUGUCAGCCGGGCGACGGUUGUCCCGGUUUAAGCAUGUAGGCGGAGGU
This 983-nucleotide ribosomal RNA is filed under the name Enterobacter hormaechei subsp. xiangfangensis. RNAcentral's name for it is "partial 23S ribosomal RNA". It matches the Rfam family "Bacterial large subunit ribosomal RNA", at positions 542 to 1531 of the family's 2925-position model. The record is from RNAcentral. Lineage: Bacteria; Pseudomonadati; Pseudomonadota; Gammaproteobacteria; Enterobacterales; Enterobacteriaceae.